GGGCCCGCACAAGCGGUGGAGCAUGUGGUUUAAUUCGAUGAUACGCGAGGAACCUUACCAGGGUUUAAAUGCAGAACGACAGGGGUGGAAACACCCCCUUCUUCGGACGGACUGCAAGGUGCUGCAUGGUUGUCGUCAGCUCGUGCUGUGAAGUGUCGGGUUAAGUCCCAUAACGAGCGCAACCCCCAUUUCUAGUUGCCAGCGGUUCGGCCGGGGACUCUAGAGAAACUGCCAGCGUAAGCUGUGAGGAAGGUGGGGAUGACGUCAAAUCAUCACGGCCUUACAUCCUGGGCCACACACGUGCUACAAUGGUCGGUACAGAGAGCAGCCACUACGCGAGUAGGAG
RNAcentral lists this ribosomal RNA (346 nucleotides) under uncultured bacterium. RNAcentral describes it as "bacterial SSU rRNA". It matches the Rfam family "Bacterial small subunit ribosomal RNA", at positions 917 to 1267 of the family's 1533-position model. The record is from RNAcentral.